GUUUCAAUAGUUUCAAUAAAAUAAUGGUCUUGUAAACCGUAGAUGAAUUUACUGUUCUUGAAGCU
This 65-nucleotide transfer RNA is filed under the name Macrobrachium rosenbergii (giant freshwater prawn). RNAcentral describes it as "tRNA-Thr". The record is from RNAcentral. Lineage: Eukaryota; Metazoa; Arthropoda; Malacostraca; Decapoda; Palaemonidae.